CCCUAGUAACUGCGAGUGAAGCGGGAAAAGCUCAAAUUUUAAAUCUGGCGGUCCUUUGCGGCCGUCCGAGUUGUAAUCUAGAGAAGUGCUUACCCGCGCUGGACCGUGUACAAGUCUCCUGGAAUGGAGCGUCAUAGAGGGUGAGAAUCCCGUCUUCGACACGGACUGCCAGGGCUUAUGUGGUGCGCUCUCGAAGAGUCGAGUUGUUUGGGAAUGCAGCUCUAAAUGGGUGGUAAAUUCCAUCUAAAGCUAAAUACAGGCGAGAGACCGAUAGCGAACAAGUACCGUGAGGGAAAGAUGAAAAGAACUUUGGAAAGAGAGUUAAACAGUACGUGAAAUUGCUGAAAGGGAAACGUUUGAAGUCAGUCGCGUUGGCUGGGGAUCAACCUUGCUCUUGCAGGGCGCACUCUCUGGUUUCGACGGGUCAGCAUCAGUUUUGGUCGCUGGAGAAAGGCUAGGGGAAUGUGGCAUCGCUUCGGUGAUGUGUUAUAGCCCUUGGUUGUAUGCAGCGGUUGGGACUGAGGAACUCAGCGCGCGCCUCUUCACGGGGGUGCCGGGUCUUUCGAGACCACGCUUACGCGCUUAGGAUGCUGGCAUAAUGGCUUUAAGCGACCCGUCUUGAAACACGGACCAAGGAGUCUAACAUGCUUGCGAGUGUUUGGGUGGAAAACCCGAGCGCGUAAUGAAAGUGAAAGUUGGGAACCCUGUCGUGGGGUGCACCGACGCCCGGACCAGACCUUCUUGUGACGGCUCCGCGGUAGAGCANGCAUGUUGGGACCCGAAAGAUGGUGAACUAUGCCUGAA
This 804-nucleotide ribosomal RNA is filed under the name Cyclocybe cylindracea. RNAcentral's name for it is "eukaryotic LSU rRNA". It matches the Rfam family "Eukaryotic large subunit ribosomal RNA", at positions 78 to 841 of the family's 3401-position model. The record is from RNAcentral. Lineage: Eukaryota; Fungi; Basidiomycota; Agaricomycetes; Agaricales; Hemipholiotaceae.